RNAcentral lists this long non-coding RNA (245 nucleotides) under Elaeis guineensis (African oil palm). RNAcentral describes it as "long non-coding RNA (EGUI_LNC025096)". The record is from RNAcentral. Lineage: Eukaryota; Viridiplantae; Streptophyta; Magnoliopsida; Arecales; Arecaceae.
UCAUAAAAAUCUUAAUAUCAUUGUCCCUCAUUUUAGAGAUAUCACAUCCAACAACUUCUUUAUGUGCUUUUAGAAUACUUACAAGUUGGGCUUCCUGAUUAGGGAUCACUAGAAGGGUGUCAAUAGGUGCGCUAGGAAGUGGCUUUAGUUCUAGAGCGGGUGAUGAUUCUAAUAAAAGAGCUAUUGAGAGAUUAGAUGAUAGCUCAUAUUUUUUGAUCCAAAAUAGAGCGAUUUUAGGGUAGGGC